UCUUCAAGAGUUACCACACCCUUACGACCCACUUUACUCAUGGCUUCAGCAAUCAUGUUCCCCACUUCAUAGUUGUUCCCAGCACUAACAGCUGCUACAUCUGCAAGCUCACUGUCUUCAACCUCUUUUGACAUUGACUUAAGUUCAUUCACUAGAGCCUUUGUGGUCUUCUCAAUACCCCUAGUAAUCAGAACAGGGUUUGCACCAGCAGCUACAACCUUGACACCUUC
Molecule: unclassified non-coding RNA, 230 nt
Filed under: Hevea brasiliensis (rubber tree)
Lineage: Eukaryota; Viridiplantae; Streptophyta; Magnoliopsida; Malpighiales; Euphorbiaceae
Source: RNAcentral